RNAcentral lists this unclassified non-coding RNA (226 nucleotides) under plant metagenome. Its description in RNAcentral is "partial contains small subunit ribosomal RNA, internal transcribed spacer 1, and 5.8S ribosomal RNA". The record is from RNAcentral.
UCUCCGUAGGUGAACCUGCGGAAGGAUCAUUAAAGAAUUGCCCCGUCUUCUCGAAGGUGGGUUCUAUUCCAAACCGUGUUUACAUACCUUUGUUGCUUUGGCGGGCCGCCGCUUCGGCGUUGGCUCCGGCUGACUGCGCCCGCCAGAGGACCACAACUCUUUUGUUUAGUAAUGUCUGAGUACUAUAUAAUAGUUAAAACUUUCAACAACGGAUCUCUUGGUUCUG